This 493-nucleotide ribosomal RNA is filed under the name uncultured bacterium. RNAcentral describes it as "partial 16S ribosomal RNA". It matches the Rfam family "Bacterial small subunit ribosomal RNA", at positions 30 to 523 of the family's 1533-position model. The record is from RNAcentral.
AUUGAGCGCUGGUGGCAUGCUUUACACAUGCAAGUCGAACGGUAACAGGUUAAGCUGACGAGUGGCGAACGGGUGAGUAAUGCAUCGGAACGUGCCCGAUCGUGGGGGAUAACGCAGCGAAAGCUGCGCUAAUACCGCAUACGAUCUGAGGAUGAAAGCGGGGGACCGUAAGGCCUCGCGCGAUCGGAGCGGCCGAUGUCAGAUUAGGUAGUUGGUGGGGUAAAGGCUCACCAAGCCAACGAUCUGUAGCUGGUCUGAGAGGACGACCAGCCACACUGGGACUGAGACACGGCCCAGACUCCUACGGGAGGCAGCAGUGGGGAAUUUUGGACGAUGGGCGAAAGCCUGAUCCAGCAAUGCCGCGUGCAGGAAGAAGGCCUUCGGGUUGUAAACUGCUUUUGUACGGAGCGAAAAGGUUCUCUCUAAUACAGAGGGCUCAUGACGGUACCGUAAGAAUAAGCACCGGCUAACUACGUGCCAGCAGCCGCCGUAA